RNAcentral lists this ribosomal RNA (635 nucleotides) under uncultured Marinobacter sp. RNAcentral's name for it is "bacterial SSU rRNA". It matches the Rfam family "Bacterial small subunit ribosomal RNA", at positions 870 to 1504 of the family's 1533-position model. The record is from RNAcentral. Lineage: Bacteria; Pseudomonadati; Pseudomonadota; Gammaproteobacteria; Pseudomonadales; Marinobacteraceae.
CGCCUGGGGAGUGCGGCCGCAAGGUUAAAACUCAAAUGAAUUGACGGGGGCCCGCACAAGCAGUGGAGCAUGUGGUUUAAUUCGACGCAACGCGAAGAACCUUACCUGGCCUCGACAUCCAGAGAACUUUCCAGAGAUGGAUUGGUGCCUUCGGGAACUCUGAGACAGGUGCUGCAUGGCCGUCGUCAGCUCGUGUCGUGAGAUGUUGGGUUAAGUCCCGUAACGAGCGCAACCCCUAUCCCUGGUUGCUAGCAGGUAAUGCUGAGAACUCCAGGGAGACUGCCGGUGACAAACCGGAGGAAGGUGGGGAUGACGUCAGGUCAUCAUGGCCCUUACGGCCAGGGCUACACACGUGCUACAAUGGCGCGUACAGAGGGCUGCCAACUCGCGAGAGUGAGCCAAUCCCUUAAAACGCGUCGUAGUCCGGAUCGGAGUCUGCAACUCGACUCCGUGAAGUCGGAAUCGCUAGUAAUCGCGAAUCAGAAUGUCGCGGUGAAUACGUUCCCGGGCCUUGUACACACCGCCCGUCACACCAUGGGAGUGGAUUGCACCAGAAGUAGUUAGUCUAACCUUCGGGAGGACGAUUACCACGGUGUGGUUCAUGACUGGGGUGAAGUCGUAACAAGGUAACCGUA